UGGGGAAUCUUGCGCAAUGGGCGAAAGCCUGACGCAGCCAUGCCGCGUGAAUGAUGAAGGUCUUAGGAUUGUAAAAUUCUUUCACCGGGGACGAUAAUGACGGUACCCGGAGAAGAAGCCCCGGCUAACUUCGUGCCAGCAGCCGCGGUAAUACGAAGGGGGCUAGCGUUGCUCGGAAUUACUGGGCGUAAAGGGAGCGUAGGCGGACAUUUAAGUCAGGGGUGAAAUCCCGGGGCUCAACCUCGGAAUUGCCUUUGAUACUGGGUGUCUUGAGUAUGAGAGAGGUGUGUGGAACUCCGAGUGUGGAGGUGAAAUUCGUAGAUAUUCGGAAGAACACCAGUGGCGAAGGCGACACACUGGCUCAUUACUGACGCUGAGGCUCGAAAGCGUGGGGAGCAAACAGG
RNAcentral lists this ribosomal RNA (404 nucleotides) under Acidobacteriota bacterium. RNAcentral describes it as "Acidobacteria bacterium partial 16S ribosomal RNA". It matches the Rfam family "Bacterial small subunit ribosomal RNA", at positions 355 to 776 of the family's 1533-position model. Lineage: Bacteria; Pseudomonadati; Acidobacteriota. The record is from RNAcentral.